AUGGUGUCGUCCCCGUCCCCUUCCCCUCCUACCUUCACUUCUGCGGUGUCCGAGACCAAGCGGCAUGCUGGUGUCCCGACGACGGCCUCGGAGAAGCUGGACCAGAAGUACGCCCACUCCGCGACGCCGCUCCACGGCCACGGCCACGGCGGCGGUGCCAAGAAGACGCCGCGGCGGGGGAGGAGCGAAGGCGGCGCCGCCGACUCGGCCGCGUAUGUCGCGGCGGUGUCCUGCUCCGACUGCCGCUUCAAGCAGCGCGCCCUGGCGCCGGCGUCGCCCGGAGCCGUCAUCCGCUCGCUGUUCGUCUCCCUCACCCGACGCUCCACCCCGCGCUCCUCGCCGUCUCCGACAUCGGCCUCGGAGGGCGACGCGGGUGAGGGCGAGCAGUGGCGCCUGGCCGCGGCCGACCUCUCGCGGCGGCUCGCCGCGGCCACGCGGACGCGGGACGACGCGGUGGAGGAGACCUCGCGGCUGAAGCAGUCCCUCGCCGAGCUGGAGCUCAAGCUCGCGCGCCUCGAGGCCCGCGUGCUCCCCACGCCGGCCGCCGCCGUCUUCCCCGUCGAGUCCUUCCUCCGCGCCGUCUCCACGGCGCGCGCCACCGUGCGGAACCUCACGCGCGCGCUCUCCACCCACCUGCGCAGCCCCGCGAGCCCCGGCCCGAACCUCGAGAGCUUCCUGAACCGCGCCUUCCACGCGGACUUCGAGCUGGACACCGAGGGCGACGUCCACACCGCGGACCCGGCGGGCCGGUGCGAGGCCAACCUCGCGGCGUACCACGCCGUGGCGGCGCUGACCUGGGAGGAGGUGCUCAUCCACGGGACGAAGCACUACAGCGACGGGCUGAGCCGGUUCUGCGACGCCAAGAUGAGCGAGGUGGUGUCCUCCCUCGGGUGGGCGCGCGCCCGCCCGUGGCCGGAGCCGCUGCUGCAGGCCUUCUUCCUGGCGGCCAAGGGCGUGUGGGGGGUGCGCCUCCUGGCGCGGUCCGUGCACCCGCCGCUGCCCGUCGUGCGCGUGGACCGCGGCGCGCGCUUCGACUCGCGGUUCAUGGAGGACGCCGCGGCCUCGCGCGCCGGGCGGCUGGAGCCGGCCAGCGUGAAGAUGAUGGUGGCGCCGGGGUUCCACGUGUACGUCGCCGGCGCCGGCGUGGUCAAGUGCAAGGUCGUGUGCUUCUACAACAACAGCCGCACCGGCGGCCACAUAGGUGGCGGGAGCAGCGCCAACGGCGGCGAGGGGUUGGGGAGUAGCUGUAGCGAUAUGAAUGGUGGCGGUACGGAUGCGGUGAAGAGCUGUCAGAGUAGCAGGGUAUAG
RNAcentral lists this ribosomal RNA (1308 nucleotides) under Triticum aestivum (bread wheat). RNAcentral describes it as "partial small subunit ribosomal RNA". The record is from RNAcentral. Lineage: Eukaryota; Viridiplantae; Streptophyta; Magnoliopsida; Poales; Poaceae.